AGAGUUGUAGGCUUUGCCUGCUAUCUCUUACCCAUGUCUUUUGAGUACCUUCGUUUCCUCGGCGGGUUCGCCCGCCGAUUGGACAAUUUAAACCAUUUGCAGUUGCAAUCAGCGUCUGAAAAAACAUAAUAGUUACAACUUUCAACAACGGAUCUCUUGGUUCUGGCAUCGAUGAAGAACGCAGCGAAAUGCGAUAAGUAGUGUGAAUUGCAGAAUUCAGUGAAUCAUCGAAUCUUUGAACGCACAUUGCGCCCCUUGGUAUUCCAUGGGGCAUGCCUGUUCGAGCGUCAUUUGUACCUUCAAGCUCUGCUUGGUGUUGGGUGUUUGUCUCGCCUCUGCGUGUAGACUCGCCUCAAAACAAUUGGCAGCCGGCGUAUUGAUUUCGGAGCGCAGUACAUCUCGCGCUUUGCACUCAGAACGACGACGUCCAAAAGUACAUUUUUACACUCUUGACCU
RNAcentral lists this ribosomal RNA (456 nucleotides) under Didymella macrostoma. RNAcentral describes it as "eukaryotic LSU rRNA". The stretch from base 137 to 290 matches the Rfam family "5.8S ribosomal RNA". Lineage: Eukaryota; Fungi; Ascomycota; Dothideomycetes; Pleosporales; Didymellaceae. The record is from RNAcentral.